AUACGGAGGGCGCAAACGUUGUUCGGAAUUACUGGGCGUAAAGCGCGCGUAGGCGGUUUGUUAAGUCAGAUGUGAAAGCCCAAGGCUCAACCUUGGACGUGCAUUUGAAACUGGCAGACUUGAGUACUGGAGGGGAUGGUGGAAUUCCCGGUGUAGAGGUGAAAUUCGUAGAUAUCGGGAGGAAUACCGGUGGCGAAGGCGACCAUCUGGCCAGAUACUGACGCUGAGGUGCGAAAGCAUGGGGAGCAAACAGGAUUAGAUACCCCUGUAGUCC
Molecule: ribosomal RNA, 274 nt
Filed under: uncultured bacterium
Lineage: Bacteria
Description: partial 16S ribosomal RNA
Rfam family: Bacterial small subunit ribosomal RNA
Source: RNAcentral